AUUAGCAUCACGCCUGAAGACGACGUUAAACUGACGCACGCACAUAUACAUACUUUCAGCACGCAGGAAUCAGUAGUGGACGUCAAACACGGCCGAAGAUCCGCGUUACGACGGAAAACACAAACAUAUACACAAAAAUCGAAACCGAGACAGAAAACAAAAGCGAGGGCAGAAGGCUGAUUUUGCACGACACCUUCUUUUUGUUUUGUAGCUCGUCUCUUUCUCCAUUCUUCUACUUCUGCUCCCCCUCCCCCCACCUCCUUCAGCACCUCUCUCGUAUCGCAUUCGUCUUGGCCGCGUAUUCCUCAUCCACGGCACCAGCACCACAGGGUUGACGGGAAAAAACUUCAGGCCUUUAUUUUGGUGAUUUUUGUUCCCCCUUCAGCUCUUCGUUUCAGCGAGCGUGCUGCGCAUUUUCUCUGUGCUUCUCAUUCUAUUGCUCAGCGAACCGGGACAGCGGAGUUGUUGUGCGUGCUCAUCGGCACCAACGCAGCUGGUGAUUCAACGUGUGCACUUGCUUGUGAUUGCUGUCACUGGCAUUGAUAUCGUUGCUCUACACAUCUUCUAGAUCGCUUUUUUUUGUUCCUUUCUCUCUCCCCAUAACCAAACACUCAUCGGCCCACGCACCGAUUGACCUACGGCUUGAGUCGUUACCACAAGCUCGAGCGAAAAGCACGUGUUGAUCUCUCAACACCCCCAUCCUUCCUCCCUCUUUCCUCCGUUUCUCUGAACAUUUGCUGAGUACAAAGAACAGCAACGAAAAACAACGAAAGCCAGAAAACGGCUGAAGCAUCGGGAGCACAGAAAAGGAGGCACCUCGGACAGGCACGUGCGCGCAGUGUGAGAGACACAGCACAAAAACUCGCCAUGAAGCUCUUACAUGCUGUCUCUCGUCGGCGCACACUGUUGUGCAUCGCGGUCGUGCUGCUGUUCUUGGCCGUCAUGAUGACCCUUGUGCGUGCCCAGGAGGUGGCGGCUACUGCAACGGAUGCUGCCGGCAAGCCUGUUGCUCAGCAUACUUCGGUGACGACAGCGACUUCCGAGGAGGAGGCCCGAGCCUCCACCGCUGCUGUACAGGCGGCUGAAGCUGAGGCGGCGGCCAUGAGGCAGCUUGAAGCUGAAGAGCAGGCUCGUCGCGAAGAGGAGGAGGAACUCGCAGAGCGUCAGCGUCGCCAGCAGGAGGUGCUGCAGCGCCAGGAGGAUUUGGCAGCGCUUCGUCGCCGCGAAGAGGAACUGGUAGAGCUCCACCGUCGCGAGCAGGAGGAGGAGCGUCGGCGCCAGGAGGAGGAGGAACUCGCAGAGCGUCAGCGCCGCCAGCAGGAGGAGGAGCGUCGACGCCAGGAGGAGGAGGAACUCGCAGAGCGUCAGCGCCGCCAGCAGGAGGAGGAGCGUCGACGCCCAGGAGGAGGGAGGGAGGGAACUCGCAGAGCGUCAGCGCCGCCAGCAGGAGGAGGAGCGUCGACGCCAGGAGGAGGAGGAACUCGCAGAGCGUCAGCGCCGCCAGCAGGAGGAGGAGAGGGCGAAGCGGAGGAUAGACUCUGUGGACAUGAUCCGUUACUCCGCCGAGGAGCUGCCGCAGGGUUGCGCGAAAAGCAUUGAGGAGUAUCUCUUCCGUGUGCACGAGCACCGCCAACAUACGGCGGCUGCGGUUCGCGAUGCGCGCUCGGAGCUGAAUGAGGCCCGCGUGCACGCCCCGAAAAAGGUCGCAGAGCUGGAGAAGCGGUUGGCUGCGAGGCAGGACGACCUGCUCGUCUACGACAUCCAGACGCUGCGCAUGUAUGGCGGGAGUGUGCCCAAGACGUGCAUUGCCGAGUCGCUGGCGUGGCUCGAUGCGCAGCCAGACGUAUCUUCGAUGAGCGAAGCCAAGCAAAGGCUCGUUUACUUCUUUCGUCUCACCUCCACGCAUUGCAGGGCGCUGUAUCUGACAGCACGUGGCGUGAUGCAGUACAUGAUCGACUCCUACACCCCCGUUGUCAAGUCUUACACGAAGUCGGUGCAGUACUACUGUGACAAGGCGAGCGCCAUAUACGCUGAACUGCUGCCUGCGUCUGGUAAGCGGCCGGAUAUACCGAUGAUGGAUCUGGCAAAGAAGGUCGCGGUUAUGGUGGGCUACGCGGCCGUGCCGAUUGGCCUCGGCGUUGCUGCUGGCAUCGUCUUUGUCGCUGUGCUGCCCCCGAUGGUGGCGGCGGUGAUCAUAUACGAGUAUGUGUACAAGAUCUGGUUGGAGCUCUUCAUUGCGUAUUACACCUACGGGGCUAAAAUGCCCGACGGCGCUGUCACCGCUGUCAAGAGCACCGUGGCCGCGCUGCGGGCAGGCGAGUGGGCUUCCAUCGGCAACAGCGUGGUAGACGCUUUAAUCGACCUCGUUGCGGAUCCAGACACCGACUUCUACAACGGCAUCCUUGCUGUUUACCUGGUUGGCAGUAUCACGGUGAUUUGUGCGACUUUCAUUUGCUUGUGGUUUUCUUGCUGCGUCCCUGGGAUGCGCGGCAAAAAGAGAGCGACGCCGCUGCAUGCGGCCUCGCGCAGUGCCGGCGACAGCAGGAACGGCAACAAGAAGGCCCCCGCCACAGGUGGUGCGGCGGCGGCGGCUGCCAAGAAGAAGAACUAGUGCUUUAUCGACGUCUCUACAUCAUGAGCUGCUCCGCAAGCCUUCUGGCUGCAAGGCAGGGCAGACUUCAGGAGACGUGUUCAAGCGAAGCGCACACGAGUGAUGUGGUAUGUGGGUGUUGGCGUAGUCUCGGCGUUCCGCUCUUGCAUACAUGCACUUACUUAUGCGGAAAGUGCCAGAAAGAAGUCGUCUUCUCACCUCUCCUCAACUCCCUCCCUUCCUUUCGCGUGUCUCUGCUGCUGCUGCUGCUUUGCAUGUUUGCGAGGCUGGUGCUCACAGUACGUGGCUCGUGUGCAUCCUUGUAUGGAGAGGAAACUUCGCUGCCUAAUGGCCAGCCUUCCCUCAUCUCGUCUUCCUCCUCAUUUUCUUUUGUAUUGGUUUGUGUCUUCUUCAUCACCUGACCCCCUACCCCUUUUUUGUGUUUGCUUCGCCUUUGGUUCUUCCCUCCCUUUUUUUUCACCUGCCCCCCUCCUCCUCCUCCUCGUCCUCCCGUGUUCCGGUGUGCAUGCGCCAUAAACGACCGCGCCACGCAGGCUUCUGGGCUUGGAGAGCUCAUCAUCGCUUUUGAGGGUUGGGUGGUGCGUGCGCGCAGCAUUCUUGUUGGUGUGGCCGCGGCACAAGCACAAGUACCCCCCCCCCCCCCCCCCCCCCCCCCAACGUCAUACGAAGGCAGCGGCGGGCGGCGGGGAAGGUGAGGAGGGCUGGUCCGUGGGCCGGUGUGUGGGUGGCAGCAGUAAGACGUACAGAAGCUGAGGAAGUAAAGAGCGAGUGAACAAUACAGUGAGCGAAAAAAAAAAUGAAGGGAGGACAACUGUCCCUUAGUUGUAGCCUCUCCUGCACCCCCACCCCAGAAGGAAACUUGUCGUCUUCAAGUGCCGUUGUUUGAUGCUUUUUUUUUCAGUUUAUUAUUAUUAGAGGAGGAGGUUGGGGGAGGGGGCUGUGUUGGCGCGUGCGUGUCCCCUCGCCAUCUCCUCUGCACCCGCUUUCUCGCAUACCAUUCCUCUUCACUGUCUCUCUCGUUCUCUCAUUCCGAGCACCAUCACCAUCGACCCCCUCCCCGCCUCCUUUUCCAAGCCCCUCUCUCAUUUUUCUUCUCCUUCCCUACCCCUUAUUUUGUUUCGCAUAUCGACUGUUUGCUGCAUGGGGUUUCUGAUGUUGUUUUGGGUGUUGCUGAUGUUGUUGUUUGUGUCUGUGGGAGAAGGGGAGGUGGACAUGUCCGGAGCUCUUUGCGCUUUUCCUGUCCGUUUUUUUUUUCUUUGCUGAUGUUGUUUUGAUUUGCUUCUCGUGUGUGUGUGUGUUCUUCCACCUUUAUCUUUAGCGGGUUGUGUGCUUGUGCAGCCGUGCGCGCGCACACACACACACACACACACGAGAAGCACGCCCACCGUUUCCACCCACAUACGUAGAGAUAAGGAUGGACGGACAAGCUCAACGCAGCGUGUGUGAGAUGUUUCAUGGCGACAUCACUCUCUCUCUUUGUAUUGUGCGCAUGGGCGGGGGCCUCCCCGCUUGCCUAGCGUCGCCAACGUUGAGUGCGCAGUAGUUUCUGCGUGCCUUCUUGUCAUUGUGCUUCUGGAAGGGAGCAGCAUGUGGUGAUCUGUGUGUCUCUCCCCUCGCUAUGUACGUGCGUGCGUGCUGUUUUGCUCAUCUGCCUCCGUCCUCCCCCUCUCCACACAAUGUGCGUCAUGCCUAAGUGUUGAGCGUAAAGCCAUGUGCGUGUGAUCUGUUUGCGGGGGUGCCGGGGGGAGGGGAGGGGAGGGGAGGGUGCUGCGCUGCCGCCACCACUACUGGGACGGGAAACGGCAAGAACAACAAAAACAAAGAGCAAAGUACUGUGCCCAACUCUUCGAUUAUUUUUCUCGUCGGGCUAAAAUAAUCACCAAGUACACAGUCCAGGCCACUGUCACUCGUCUUUCCUUGGCUGUCCAUCUCUUUGCCUGGCUAGCUCUCCUCCACACGCGCGAGACGACACACUCCCCUGUUUACUCCAACCCUUGUGUGGGCGCACUCUGUGAAGCCACGAUCCGACGAGCGGUACGAAGAAUAAUUCCAUGUCUUCACAAUAAUGCUGACGCAUGCCUGGUUGUGUGGGGCGAGGGGGCGGUGUUGGUUGUGGUGCACGCAGGAAUAGCUGAGGGAAGGAAUGCGAUGUCUGAUUGUGCUUGUGAGCGUGUGUCUAUCUCCUCGCUGCGUGUGUGUGCGUGUGUUGGAUGAAUGCAUUGAGUUCUAACAACUGCAACGAAAGAAGCGAAGAAAAAGGAUGCGCCAUGCAAACCGUGAGGCACGCACACAGACGAACAAGGAGGUGCUCCCUUCGCGUCGAGAGUGUGGAUCUCCUCCACGACGAAUUUGGUUGGGGGAGAAGGGGGGAAGAAG
This 4987-nucleotide unclassified non-coding RNA is filed under the name Leishmania donovani. Its description in RNAcentral is "gene:LdHU3.23.1110(CDS-product:hypothetical_prote in_conserved)". The record is from RNAcentral. Lineage: Eukaryota; Euglenozoa; Kinetoplastea; Trypanosomatida; Trypanosomatidae.